RNAcentral lists this transfer RNA (70 nucleotides) under Tridacna gigas (giant clam). RNAcentral's name for it is "tRNA-Asp". It matches the Rfam family "tRNA". From Rfam's summary of the family: Transfer RNA (tRNA) molecules are approximately 80 nucleotides in length. The record is from RNAcentral. Lineage: Eukaryota; Metazoa; Mollusca; Bivalvia; Cardiida; Cardiidae.
GGCGGUCUGGUUUAAUUUAUAAAACAUCUGUUUGUCAAGCAGAAGAUCCACGGAGGGAGUGGGGCUGCUU